This 94-nucleotide long non-coding RNA is filed under the name Sitophilus oryzae (rice weevil). RNAcentral describes it as "uncharacterized LOC115891774". The record is from RNAcentral. Lineage: Eukaryota; Metazoa; Arthropoda; Insecta; Coleoptera; Curculionidae.
CUGUGGCCAUAAAGUGUAAAACUGUACUUUUAAAAGUUAGUAGAAAGGCUUGAUAGUAUUUUAGAUACCAAGAAUAAAGAAUUUUCGGAGUGUU